This 700-nucleotide ribosomal RNA is filed under the name Escherichia coli. Its description in RNAcentral is "partial 23S ribosomal RNA". It matches the Rfam family "Bacterial large subunit ribosomal RNA", at positions 2222 to 2916 of the family's 2925-position model. Lineage: Bacteria; Pseudomonadati; Pseudomonadota; Gammaproteobacteria; Enterobacterales; Enterobacteriaceae. The record is from RNAcentral.
CUAACGUUGACCCGUAAUCCGGGUUGCGGACAGUGUCUGGUGGGUAGUUUGACUGGGGCGGUCUCCUCCUAAAGAGUAACGGAGGAGCACGAAGGUUGGCUAAUCCUGGUCGGACAUCAGGAGGUUAGUGCAAUGGCAUAAGCCAGCUUGACUGCGAGCGUGACGGCGCGAGCAGGUGCGAAAGCAGGUCAUAGUGAUCCGGUGGUUCUGAAUGGAAGGGCCAUCGCUCAACGGAUAAAAGGUACUCCGGGGAUAACAGGCUGAUACCGCCCAAGAGUUCAUAUCGACGGCGGUGUUUGGCACCUCGAUGUCGGCUCAUCACAUCCUGGGGCUGAAGUAGGUCCCAAGGGUAUGGCUGUUCGCCAUUUAAAGUGGUACGCGAGCUGGGUUUAGAACGUCGUGAGACAGUUCGGUCCCUAUCUGCCGUGGGCGCUGGAGAACUGAGGGGGGCUGCUCCUAGUACGAGAGGACCGGAGUGGACGCAUCACUGGUGUUCGGGUUGUCAUGCCAAUGGCACUGCCCGGUAGCUAAAUGCGGAAGAGAUAAGUGCUGAAAGCAUCUAAGCACGAAACUUGCCCCGAGAUGAGUUCUCCCUGACUCCUUGAGAGUCCUGAAGGAACGUUGAAGACGACGACGUUGAUAGGCCGGGUGUGUAAGCGCAGCGAUGCGUUGAGCUAACCGGUACUAAUGAACCGUGAGG